Molecule: ribosomal RNA, 320 nt
Filed under: uncultured eukaryote
Lineage: Eukaryota
Description: partial 18S ribosomal RNA
Rfam family: Eukaryotic small subunit ribosomal RNA
Source: RNAcentral
CCCCUAGAUGUUCUGGGCCGCACGCGCGCUACACUGAACAGUUCAACAAGUCUUAACCUUGGCCGAUAGGUCUGGGUAAUCUUUGAACGCUGUUCGUGAUUGGGAUAGACCUUUGCAAUUAUGGGUCUUCAACGAGGAAUUCCUAGUAAACGCAAGUCGUCAGCUUGCAUUGAUUACGUCCCUGCCCUUUGUACACACCGCCCGUCGCACCUACCGAUUGAAUGGUCCGGUGAAAUCUCGGGACGGCGGCUUGGUCGCUUGCGUCCGACUGCUGAAACUUGAUUAAACCAUAUCAUUUAGAGGAAGGUGAANUCGUAACA